Molecule: non-coding RNA, 21 nt
Filed under: Caenorhabditis elegans
Lineage: Eukaryota; Metazoa; Nematoda; Chromadorea; Rhabditida; Rhabditidae
Source: RNAcentral
UCUACGUGUUUGUUUGUUUGU